GCCGGGAUGGUGGAAUUGGUAGACGCAGCGGACUCAAAAUCCGCCAAUGGCAACCUCUUGCGAGUUCAAGUCUCGCUCCCGGUACCA
Molecule: transfer RNA, 87 nt
Filed under: Caudoviricetes sp.
Lineage: Duplodnaviria; Heunggongvirae; Uroviricota; Caudoviricetes
Description: tRNA-Leu
Rfam family: tRNA
About the family: Transfer RNA (tRNA) molecules are approximately 80 nucleotides in length. Their secondary structure includes four short double-helical elements and three loops (D, anti-codon, and T loops).
Source: RNAcentral